UUGGUAGCCGGGUAGACCGGCUUGAAAAGGGAAUCCCGUGAAAAACGGGAGCGGACCCGCCGCCGUAAGGUUCUUAACCUUGCUCCAUCUUGCGCCACUGGAAACGGGAAGGCCGGAGCAGGGGAACCAAGCCGGAAGACCUGCCAUGCC
This 150-nucleotide non-coding RNA is filed under the name Desulfovibrio desulfuricans. The record is from RNAcentral. Lineage: Bacteria; Pseudomonadati; Thermodesulfobacteriota; Desulfovibrionia; Desulfovibrionales; Desulfovibrionaceae.